AGCGAACGUUUGCGGCGGGCUUAACACAUGCAAGUCGAACGAGAAUCCCUUCGGGGAGGAAAGUGGCGCACGGGUGCGUAACACGUGGAUAACCUACCCAUUGGUUGGGGACAACACCGGGAAACUGGUGCUAAUACCCGAUGUGUCGUAGUGGUCGCAAGGCUGCUACGAGAAAGGCCCGCAAGGGUCGCCAGCGGACGGGUCCGCGUCCCAUCAGCUAGUUGGUGAGGUAAUGGCUCACCAAGGCGAAGACGGGUAGCUGGUCUGAGAGGAUGAUCAGCCACACUGGAACUGAGACACGGUCCAGACUCCUACGGGAGGCAGCAGUGGGGAAUAUUGCGCAAUGGGCGAAAGCCUGACGCAGCCACGCCGCGUGAGCGAUGAAGGUCUUCGGAUCGUAAAGCUCUGUGGGGGGAGAAGAAAAACUGUUGGCUAAUAUCCAACAGGUUGACGGUACCUUCUUAGCAAGCACCGGCUAACUCUGUGCCAGCAGCCGCGGUAAU
This 503-nucleotide ribosomal RNA is filed under the name uncultured bacterium. RNAcentral describes it as "bacterial SSU rRNA". It matches the Rfam family "Bacterial small subunit ribosomal RNA", at positions 29 to 524 of the family's 1533-position model. The record is from RNAcentral.